UCGGGAAUCUUGGGCAAUGGGCGAAAGCCUGACCCAGCAACGCCGCGUGAGGGAUGAAGGCCUUCGGGUCGUAAACCUCUGUCGGGAGGGAAGAACGAUCGGAGUUCGAAUAGGGCUCUGGUCUGACGGUACCUCCAAAGGAAGCGCCGGCUAACUCCGUGCCAGCAGCCGCGGUAAUACGGAGGGCGCAAGCGUUGUUCGGAAUCAUUGGGCGUAAAGCGCGUGUAGGCGGCCAGGUAAGUCGGGUGUGAAAGCCCGGGGCCCAACCCCGGAACUGCAUUCGAUACUGCUUGGCUGGAGUCCCGGAGAGGAAGGCGGAAUUCCCGGUGUAGAGGUGAAAUUCGUAGAUAUCGGGAGGAACAUCAGUGGCGCAGGCGGCCUUCUGGACGGUGACUGACGCUGAGGCACGAAAGCGUGGGGAGCAAACAGGAUUAGAUACCCGGGGUAGUCCCUGAGCGGGCUGGCAAGGCGCAU
Molecule: ribosomal RNA, 474 nt
Filed under: uncultured bacterium
Lineage: Bacteria
Description: bacterial SSU rRNA
Rfam family: Bacterial small subunit ribosomal RNA
Source: RNAcentral